UGGGGUAUGGCUCAGUGGUAGGGCCCAUGCUUAGUAUGCAUGAGGCCUUGGGUUUGACCCCCCAGUCCCAA
RNAcentral lists this transfer RNA (71 nucleotides) under Marmota monax (woodchuck). It matches the Rfam family "tRNA". From Rfam's summary of the family: Transfer RNA (tRNA) molecules are approximately 80 nucleotides in length. Their secondary structure includes four short double-helical elements and three loops (D, anti-codon, and T loops). The record is from Rfam by way of RNAcentral. Lineage: Eukaryota; Metazoa; Chordata; Mammalia; Rodentia; Sciuridae.